RNAcentral lists this microRNA precursor (67 nucleotides) under Bombyx mori (domestic silkworm). RNAcentral's name for it is "mir-2774 microRNA precursor family". It matches the Rfam family "mir-2774 microRNA precursor family". Lineage: Eukaryota; Metazoa; Arthropoda; Insecta; Lepidoptera; Bombycidae. The record is from Rfam by way of RNAcentral.
ACAACAUUCGAAGCGUCGGUCUACCGGACAACAGAACCCGCUCGGUGGAAGAUCUUCCCUUUGUCCC